CAGAGAUGUUCAGGCUAGCCUAGCGUAGCAUGCUAAUUUGAAAUAUUAGGCCUUCAUUUUCUCCUCAGGUUGUCAGCUAAAUACAGCUUCCUAGCUUGGCUAGCCACCAAAUAUUCUCACCUAACUGCCCCUGGCCCCACUGGUCCCUCCAAAGCCAUCUUUAAUUAGUCCUAUGCUUUAAUUUGUUUCCUUACAAGGCCUAUUUUGCUGCUCCACCAUCCGUCAGAAAAUAGGAAAGAAAAAUAUGAGGUGUUUGGGGACGGCAUGGCAUUCAAAGCAAGGUGACUCCCUACCGGACGUGCACACAAGAUGCACAAUCGAGAGUAUCCUGUCGGGCUGUAUCACCGUCUGGUACGGCAACUGCUCCGCCCACAACCCGCAAGGCUCUCCAGAGGGUGGUACGGUCUGCACAACCCAUCACCGGGGGCAAACUACCUGCCUUCCAGGACACCUACACCACCCGAUGUCACAGGAAGGCCAAAAAGAUCAUCAAGGACAACAACCACCCAAGCCACUGACUGUUCCCCCCGCUAUCCUCCAGAAGGAACAGUGGGUUAACUGCCUUGUUCAGGAGCAGAACGACAGAUUUUUACCUUGUCGGCUCGGGGAUUCGAUCUUGCAACCUUUCAGGUAAGAAAUCCAACGCUCUAACCACUAGGAUACCUGUCUCUAACCACUAGGAUACCUGUCAUUAACCACUAGGCUACCUGUCUCUAACUAGGAUACCUGCCGCCCCAAGUAUAAGGUAGUCGUUGUGAAUUUGUUAGAUUACUUGUCGCUCUGGAUAAGAGUGUCUGCUAAAUGACUUAAAUGUAAAUGUAAAUAUUACUGCACUGUCGGAACUAGAAGCACAAGCAUUUCGCAAACACUCGCAUUAACAUCUGCUAACCACGUUUAUGUGAACAACAACAUUUGAUUUGAGUUGAGAAUCAGCUCUUCCCCACUCUUAUCCCAUUGUCUUAGGCCUGCUCCAUCCACCAUGAGCCAUACAAGCUAAUCAGCACUCACUACCUCAUACGCUUUACUCUAGUCCUCCCAUCUCGCUCUCUCGCUCUCUCUCGCUCUCUCUUGCUCUCUCUUGCUCUCUCUCGCUCCCUCUUGCUCUCUCUCGCUCUCUCUCGCUCCCUCUCGCUCCCUCUCGCUCUCUCUCGCUCUCUCUCUCGCUCUCUCUCUCUCUCGCUCUCUCUCUCUCGCUCUCUCUCUCGCUCUCUCUCUCUCGC
Molecule: long non-coding RNA, 1220 nt
Organism: Oncorhynchus keta (chum salmon)
Lineage: Eukaryota; Metazoa; Chordata; Actinopteri; Salmoniformes; Salmonidae
Exons: 3
Source: RefSeq, a predicted model, not a curated record